Non-coding RNA from Pelobates cultripes (western spadefoot toad), 237 nucleotides. The record is from the annotation of a GenBank genome assembly. Lineage: Eukaryota; Metazoa; Chordata; Amphibia; Anura; Pelobatidae.
CUACAAGUCCAGAACCAAACCUCAAGUCACAUCGUUUUGAACGUUUCUCAACCUGGUCAUCAGCCGUUAGGGCUGUUGCUUAUUUGAUUCACGUUGCCCAUUGUUUUAAAAGGAGCUCAAUAUCAGAGUGUCAUUGUUGGCAUAUCUGUACCAACCAUCCUACCGCAACGGAAAUUAAGCGUGCCGAAAAGGUUAUCAUUCACUGUGUACAACAAGAAGCGUACAUGGAAGAAUUCC